RNAcentral lists this ribosomal RNA (492 nucleotides) under uncultured soil bacterium. RNAcentral describes it as "bacterial SSU rRNA". It matches the Rfam family "Bacterial small subunit ribosomal RNA", at positions 26 to 513 of the family's 1533-position model. The record is from RNAcentral.
AGACUGAACGCUGGCGGCAGGCCUAACACAUGCAAGUCGAGCGGUAGAGAGGUGCUUGCACCUCUUGAGAGCGGCGGACGGGUGAGUAAUGCCUAGGAAUCUGCCUAGUGGUGGGGGAUAACGUUCGGAAACGGACGCUAAUACCGCAUACGUCCUACGGGAGAAAGCGGGGGACCUUCGGGCCUCGCGCCAUUAGAUGAGCCUAGGUCGGAUUAGCUAGUUGGUGAGGUAAUGGCUCACCAAGGCGACGAUCCGUAACUGGUCUGAGAGGAUGAUCAGUCACACUGGAACUGAGACACGGUCCAGACUCCUACGGGAGGCAGCAGUGGGGAAUAUUGGACAAUGGGCGAAAGCCUGAUCCAGCCAUGCCGCGUGUGUGAAGAAGGUCUUCGGAUUGUAAAGCACGUUUAAGUUGGAGGAAGGCAGUUACCUAAUACGUAUCUGUUUUGACGUUACGACAGAAUAAGCACCGGCUAACGUCUGUCGCCAGCA